This is a long non-coding RNA of Aegilops tauschii subsp. strangulata, 2110 nucleotides long. RefSeq lists it as uncharacterized. The record is from RefSeq and is a predicted model, not a curated record. Lineage: Eukaryota; Viridiplantae; Streptophyta; Magnoliopsida; Poales; Poaceae.
AAGAAAGAAAUGGAUUGCCCAAUCGCAGCCCCAGCCCCAGCCCUGUUUCCCAUCCCACCCCCCGCGAGUCCUCCCCUUCUUCCUCUCCCUCUCCCUCGUCCGCCGCCGCCGCCGCCGACGACCUACCUCCUCGGCCGCUGCUCCUCGCGCUCUAUAUGCUCCUCCACCGCAUGGAUUCGUCGAUCCCAUCCUUCUGUGGUUGCCUGCAUCGGUUUUACCCAUCUAGGGUUUCGGUGUGGUCGACCUACUCGUCGCCGGCGAUGCUCUGGUGCGUUGGUCCGUUCGUCUCCGUCUCCUGUCAUGCUCUCUCGUGGUGUUGUGCCUCCUGGAUGGCGCUCCUGUGCCUCGGAUGCAUGCCCCUCUCUCCCGAGCUCGAUGAGAAGCAGCGGCGCCCCCUUUCUCCCGAGCUCCAAAUCCAUCCCAACAGCGCUAAGGUAACCAGCGGCAGAGGCUCCCACCUAGCACCUCUCUCCUCCUGCCCCCUCCUUGCCCUCCUAUGUGUUUUCGAUUUUUUCUGCGUGUGCUUGCACGUUCAUGGAUCUAGAUAGCAGAUUAUGUUUUCUGUGUAAUAUUUCAUAGGCUUAAACUUCAAGGAGUAGAUGUAAUGCUUUUGUCUUUUGCCUCCCUCCAUGUUAUCAGUACAGGGAUCCUAAUUUGGGCUCUGCUCCAAUCAACAAAUAGAGUGCAACCCUUGAGUUCAUCCCGAUAGAGUGGCAGUCACAUAAGAUGGAGCAUGGAAAUGGACGAGCAGUCCAUAUUAUUCAAUUGGGUUUGACUGCAUCUCGUCUAACUAAUGUAUGCCAUAUUACUAUGUUCGUUUCCUUUAGUUUUUUUCAUUACUCUGUAAGUAUGAGUAAUAGGCUCUUAGCUGGUGCUUGCUUCAGAUUUUGGUAGCUAAUAUUAAGCUUAGCAAUGCAAAUGUGUAGGUGUUGAUGUUUGUGCUAUGUUGUAGAACUCGGGUCAUGAAAGUUGGAUCCUAAGAACUUCUGUUCAUUUCACUAAAAAAUUCUGAAGGCUGCGGAAGUGUAUAACAAGUUAUCCAACAGAAGUACACUGAGCCUUCUAAGAUUGACCUAUGUGUAUUAGAUAGUUGCAUAUAUGAGCACUUGUCACUAAAGCAUAUUUUCUGGCAAUGACUGUUAGAGACGGACAAACACAACUGGAAGAAAAUGAUGGAAAGUACAGCUUGUGGCAAGAAAGUUUCAUUAGACAUUUUGAAAGGUACGAGCUGGGAGCAAUAUAGGUGAUCAAGUUAGUAUGGUAUAUCCCUCUUCUGUUCUACUUGUUUUUCCUUUGUGAUGGAUGUGCCUAUUCUGCUUGUUGGUAUGCAUAAUUGCAUAUGCAAUCAACUUCUUUGCUUCUUCCUCCUUCGCCAUGUAUUAGUAUUAUGCCCAUGAUCUUCAAAUUUGAUAUAUGAUGUAGGUCAGAGGCCUCUCUUAAAAUUGCCGUAAUCAUGAAAUUAUUAUCACCUAUAUAAUACCUGAAACUAGCACUCUUAAUAAUGAUAAAUUGUUCAUUCUACCUAAAAAUAUUCUAAGUAUGCGAGGCUAGCUUUUCAAACAUAAAUGUUUGGCUCUUUUUGUGUGCGUCUAUAUUUGUUCCAUAAAGUAUCAUUUGAACCAUUGUGCUUAAAUAAACAUUGAAAAGCCUAAUUUUUGUCUUUCUGAUGCCUUUCGUAAAGAACUGAUGAUCGAUAGUGACAACAUUACACAUGAUUAAGCUGUAGCACUAAGUUGUCCCUAUGAUUCGUAUAUCUGAGUGAAGUAUAACGAUCUAUCUGAUCAAUCCAUUUAACUGUUUUCAAGGUGGUUUGGUGUGCGAAAAACUGUUGGACUUGAUAGUUAAUGAGCGUGUUGUUAUCAGGGUUCGGGCUGGGUCAUCGGUCUGGGCUGCUCAUGCCUAGGUUUACAUGCAAGUUAUAUGAAAUAUGUGUGUAUAUCUUAAUGUUCUCUACCAGUUAAGAGUGGAGAUGCCCUUUUCUAGGCAUGCAAUGGCAACCUGGUUGAUUGCAGCUUCUUCCUUGAGGUCUUCAAAUACCUGAUAUGUCUCAACAUAUUGAUACUUUUUGUAUGUUUCAUACUCCAAUACUAUCAAUUAUACACUUUGGGCA